GGUCUGAUCGUAUAACGGUUAGUACACAAGAUUCUGAGCACAGCGCCGUGAUCACUUCCAAACGCGUUCCUCCAUUGGAGCAACUCGCGGAUCACACAAUUCGUUCUUGUAAUCUGGGUUCGAUUCCCAGUCGGACCU
Apiotrichum porosum is the source of this 138-nucleotide non-coding RNA. The record is from the annotation of a RefSeq genome assembly. Lineage: Eukaryota; Fungi; Basidiomycota; Tremellomycetes; Trichosporonales; Trichosporonaceae.